This 253-nucleotide ribosomal RNA is filed under the name uncultured bacterium. RNAcentral describes it as "partial 16S ribosomal RNA". It matches the Rfam family "Bacterial small subunit ribosomal RNA", at positions 524 to 776 of the family's 1533-position model. The record is from RNAcentral.
UACAGAGGGUGCAAGCGUUAAUCGGAAUUACUGGGCGUAAAGCGUGCGUAGACGGUUAUGUAAGUCAGAUGUGAAAGCCCCGGGCUUAACCUGGGAAUGGCAUUUGAGACUGCAUAGCUAGGAUGCGGAAGAGGGCAGUGGAAUUUCCGGUGUAGCGGUGAAAUGCGUAGAUAUCGGAAGGAACAGCAGUGGCGAAAGCGACUGCCUGGUCCAGCAUCGACGUUCAGGCACGAAAGCGUGGGGAGCAAACAGG